Molecule: long non-coding RNA, 1112 nt
Organism: Pyrus x bretschneideri (Chinese white pear)
Lineage: Eukaryota; Viridiplantae; Streptophyta; Magnoliopsida; Rosales; Rosaceae
Exons: 3
Source: RefSeq, a predicted model, not a curated record
UUGGGGCUCUUUUUCUGCUUUGGCGAGAAUUAAAAUAGGAAAUAAUUUUUUUUAAAAAGCAUCAACUUUUUCUCCUAGCAUCCCUUCCACCCAUUUUUUCGGAAGAGAACCCCAAAGUUUUGGGUACUUAUUUUUGUUAACAAAGUUUAGAGCUUUGAAUGUUUUCUUUCUGUUUUGGAAAAAAGGUCUACGGGGUUCUAAUCUUUCAUUGUUUCUGCAUUUUGGGCAUUACCCAGUUGAGAUGCUUAAAUGUGUUGAAUCUCAGAAAAAUUAGUUUUGGGUUUGUGUUAUUCCGGAUUAUCUUGGGGGCAAGUUGACAAGCAUGUAUGAUUGUAUUCGGUGAUGGGUUUUGUUCAGAUGCUUGUAUUGAGUUAUCUCAGUUCAUUUUGUUAGCAGGUUGGUUGUACUGAGGCUUAUUUGGAUUUUGAAUCCAUACGAAAAAUCGAAGCUUGGUUUGGAAGAGAUGGGGUGUAUUGGGGCACAUGGUGUGGCUACUUUACAUAAACACAAGUACAGUGGUGUGGAUCACUCUUGCGUUGCCAAAUAUGUCAUGCAACCCUUUUGGAGUAGCUUCGUUAAAAUCUUUCCCCUUUGGAUGCCGUUCUGGUGGGCUUUACAACUUGCAAAGUGUUUGCCUUUUAUGAGUUGGGUCCGUUCUUAAUGUGUGUCCAACGUUCAUAAGGUUGUUCAAGCAAGGAAAGCAAGUAUACUAUUGGCACUGGCAAUGGUGAUGCUUCCAUCUUUCUGAUUUUAUGCUAAUCUAGACACUUGAUUGGCUUAAUGGGUGUUUCAUGUUGUUUCUUCUCAGCUUUACCCUGUAGUAAUCCUUUUGGGAGGAACUUUGGCUUGGUAUUUUUUGGCAGGAAAACUCUGUUUUGGCAGGGAAGACUGGUUCUUGCGCACGCGUGUGAUGAGCCUGCAUGGUGAUGGAGUUUUGAGCUCCCAUUGUAAACAACAAUUCGUCAAAGGCCUUUAUAUAGGUCAAAUCCUUUUUAUUAUUGAUUAGGUGUUAGACCAUUUAGAAUGAGGGUUGAGGUUUGUGCCAAUAAUUGUGUAGAUUAAGCUUGAUGAUUAUACUAUAAUAUUAAUAUUAAUUAAUAUUAAUUAAUCAA